CUACGGGUGGCUCCAGUGGGGAAUAUUGCACAAUGGGCGCAAGCCUGAUGCAGCCAUGCCGCGUGUAUGAAGAAGGCCUUCGGGUUGUAAAGUACUUUCAGCGGGGAGGAAGGGAGUAAAGUUAAUACCUUUGCUCAUUGACGUUACCCGCAGAAGAAGCACCGGCUAACUCCGUGCCAGCAGCCGCGGUAAUACGGAGGGUGCAAGCGUUAAUCGGAAUUACUGGGCGUAAAGCGCACGCAGGCGGUUUGUUAAGUCAGAUGUGAAAUCCCCGGGCUCAACCUGGGAACUGCAUCUGAUACUGGCAAGCUCGAGUCUCGUAGAGGGGGGUAGAAUUCCAGGUAUAGCGGUGAAAUGCGUAGAGAUCUGGAGGAAUACCGGUGGCGAAGGCGGCCCCCUGGACGAAGACUGACGCUCAGGUGCGAAAGCGUGGGGAGCAAACAGGAUUAGAUACCCCUGUAGUC
Molecule: ribosomal RNA, 464 nt
Filed under: uncultured bacterium
Lineage: Bacteria
Description: partial 16S ribosomal RNA
Rfam family: Bacterial small subunit ribosomal RNA
Source: RNAcentral